CCUGGCUUAGGACGAACGCUGGCGGCGUGCCUAAUACAUGCAAGUCGAACGGUCUUUCUAUGGAAGCUUGCUUCCACUGAGAAGAUAGUGGCGAACGGGUGAGUAACACGUGGGUAACCUGCCCAUAAGAGGGGGAUAACAUCCGGAAACGGGUGCUAAUACCGCAUAGUUUUCUUGAUCGCAUGAUUGAGAAAGGAAAGACGGCCUUUGUGCUGUCGCUUAUGGAUGGACCCGCGGCGUAUUAGUUAGUUGGUGAGGUAACGGCUCACCAAGACGAUGAUACGUAGCCGACCUGAGAGGGUGAUCGGCCACAUUGGGACUGAGACACGGCCCAAACUCCUACGGGAGGCAGCAGUAGGGAAUCUUCCGCAAUGGACGAAAGUCUGACGGAGCAACGCCGCGUGAGUGAAGAAAAGGUUUUCGGAUCGUAAAACUCUGUUGUCAGAGAAGAACAAGUUGGAGAGUAACUGCUCCAGCCUUGACGGUAUCUGACCAGAAAGCCACGGCUAACUACGUGCCAGCCGCCGC
Molecule: ribosomal RNA, 528 nt
Filed under: uncultured bacterium
Lineage: Bacteria
Description: bacterial SSU rRNA
Rfam family: Bacterial small subunit ribosomal RNA
Source: RNAcentral